GCGCCCGUAGCUCAAUUGGAUGGAGCCGCCGGCUUCUACCCGGCUGGGUGGGGGUUCGAGUCCCUCCGGGCGCG
This 74-nucleotide transfer RNA is filed under the name Armatimonadota bacterium. RNAcentral's name for it is "Armatimonadetes bacterium (rhizosphere metagenome) tRNA-Arg". It matches the Rfam family "tRNA". From Rfam's summary of the family: Transfer RNA (tRNA) molecules are approximately 80 nucleotides in length. Their secondary structure includes four short double-helical elements and three loops (D, anti-codon, and T loops). Further hydrogen bonds mediate the characteristic L-shaped molecular structure. tRNAs have two regions of fundamental functional importance: the anti-codon, which is responsible for specific mRNA codon recognition, and the 3' end, to which the tRNAs corresponding amino acid is attached (by aminoacyl-tRNA synthetases). tRNAs cope with the degeneracy of the genetic code in two manners: having more than one tRNA (with a specific anti-codon) for a particular amino acid; and 'wobble' base-pairing, i.e. permitting non-standard base-pairing at the 3rd anti-codon position. Lineage: Bacteria; Bacillati; Armatimonadota. The record is from RNAcentral.